CUACGUGCCAGCAGCCGCGGUAAUACGUAGGGCGCAAGCGUUGUCCGGAAUUAUUGGGCGUAAAGAGCUCGUAGGCGGCUGGUCGCGUCUGUCGUGAAAACUUCCGGCUCAACCGGGGGCUUGCGGUGGGUACGGGCCGGCUAGAGUGCGGUAGGGGUAACUGGAACUCCUGGUGUAGCGGUGGAAUGCGCAGAUAUCAGGAGGAACACCGAUGGCGAAGGCAGGUCUCUGGGCUGUAACUGACGCUGAGAAGCGAAAGCAUGGGGAGCGAGCAGGAUUAGAUACCCUGGUAGUCCAUGCCGUAAACGUUGGGCACUAGGUGUGGGGAACAUUCCACGUUUUCCGCGCCGUAGCUAACGCAUUAAGUGCCCCGCCUGGGGAGUACGGCCGCAAGGCUAAAACUCAAAGAAAUUGACGGGGGCCCGCACAAGCGGCGGAGCAUGCGGAUUAAUUCGAUGCAACGCGAAGAACCUUACCAAGGCUUGACAU
RNAcentral lists this ribosomal RNA (489 nucleotides) under uncultured bacterium. Its description in RNAcentral is "bacterial SSU rRNA". It matches the Rfam family "Bacterial small subunit ribosomal RNA", at positions 501 to 987 of the family's 1533-position model. The record is from RNAcentral.